GAUGAAGAACGUAGCGAAAUGCGAUACUUGGUGUGAAUUGCAGAAUCCCGAGAACCAUCGAGUCUUUGAACGCAAGUUGCGCCUCAAGCCAUUAGGUUGAGGGCACAUCUGCCUGGGCGUCACAUAUCGUUGCCUGAUGCCAGUUUCCUCGUGAUGGGUGACUGUGCAGGGCGAAUGAUGGCUUCCCGUGAGCAUUGUUGCCUCAUGGUUGGUUGAAAAUUGAGUCCUUGGUAGGGAGCGCCGUGAUAGAUGGUGGUUGAGUGACGAACGAGACCCAAUCAUGUGAGACCCCUACCGAAUUUGGCCUUCAUGACCCACAUGCGUCUUUGGAACGCUCAUGACGAGACCUCAGGUCAGGCGGGGCUACCCGCUGAGUUUAAGCAUAUCAAUAAGCGGAGGA
RNAcentral lists this unclassified non-coding RNA (400 nucleotides) under soil metagenome. RNAcentral's name for it is "partial contains 5.8S ribosomal RNA, internal transcribed spacer 2, and large subunit ribosomal RNA". The stretch from base 1 to 122 matches the Rfam family "5.8S ribosomal RNA", at positions 35 to 154 of the family's 154-position model. The record is from RNAcentral.